This 113-nucleotide small nucleolar RNA is filed under the name Microcebus murinus (gray mouse lemur). RNAcentral's name for it is "Small nucleolar RNA SNORA30/SNORA37 family (ENSMICG00000019774.3)". Lineage: Eukaryota; Metazoa; Chordata; Mammalia; Primates; Cheirogaleidae. The record is from RNAcentral.
UUUGCUCAUCACAAUUCCCUCUAGGAUUUGGUAGCUGGUGCUGAGAGAAAACCCUUGAUUUCAUCAUUGCCCUGGGAUUGUACCAGUGGCAACUGUCACUCAAUGGGACAGAG